This 355-nucleotide long non-coding RNA is filed under the name Hordeum vulgare. RNAcentral's name for it is "long non-coding RNA (HVUL_LNC001244)". Lineage: Eukaryota; Viridiplantae; Streptophyta; Magnoliopsida; Poales; Poaceae. The record is from RNAcentral.
AGUUACUGGCGCAUCGACCUUGCAAGGCCUGUCGUCGAUGCCCCCACGGCACCAGACAGCGCCUCCUCCCUACGCGCGCUCAUCAUCACGCAUCCGUCGUCGAGACUUUGCUGCGCCUCGCCGCCGAGACUCCACGACGUCGAUGUGUCACAAGGAACGCCGCUCCAUCGUUGAUGCCGACCAAUGAUCCCUCGAGCCCGUGUGUACCUCCAUGAAUGACGCCCCCAAGAGGGAAACGAAACCAGAGCAUCGCCGUCAUCCGAUCUACUGAUCUAGGGUUUCCUUCGGAGGUAGCAAAGAGUGGCCUUGAACUUCUCCUCGGCGAUGCCUUCAGGAAGGAAACGACGUAGACAAC